Molecule: ribosomal RNA, 468 nt
Filed under: uncultured bacterium
Lineage: Bacteria
Description: partial 16S ribosomal RNA
Rfam family: Bacterial small subunit ribosomal RNA
Source: RNAcentral
GACGAACGCUGGCGGCGUGCUUAACACAUGCAAGUCGAACGGAAAGGCCCUGCUUUUGUGGGGUGCUCGAGUGGCGAACGGGUGAGUAACACGUGAGUAACCUGCCCUUGACUUUGGGAUAACUUCAGGAAACUGGGGCUAAUACCGGAUAGGAGCUCCUGCUGCAUGGUGGGGGUUGGAAAGUUUCGGCGGUUGGGGAUGGACUCGCGGCUUAUCAGCUUGUUGGUGGGGUAGUGGCUUACCAAGGCUUUGACGGGUAGCCGGCCUGAGAGGGUGACCGGCCACAUUGGGACUGAGAUACGGCCCAGACUCCUACGGGAGGCAGCAGUGGGGAAUAUUGCAAAAUGGGCGGAAGCCUGAUGCAGCAACGCCGCGUGCGGGAUGACGGCCUUCGGGUUGUAACCCGCUUUCGCCUGUGACGAAGCGUGAGUGACGGUAAUGGGUAAAGAAGCACCGGCUAACUACGUG